This 133-nucleotide ribosomal RNA is filed under the name uncultured bacterium. Its description in RNAcentral is "partial 16S ribosomal RNA". It matches the Rfam family "Bacterial small subunit ribosomal RNA", at positions 355 to 507 of the family's 1533-position model. The record is from RNAcentral.
UGGGGAAUAGUGGACAAUGGGAGAAAGCCUGAUCCAAACCAUGCCGCGUGGAUGACGGCCUUCGGGUUGUAGAGCUCUGUCUUCGGGGACGAUAAUAACGGUACUCGAGGAGGAAGCCACGGCUAACAACGUG